UGGGGAAUAUUGGACAAUGGGGGCAACCCUGAUCCAGCCAUGCCGCGUGAGUGAAGAAGGCCUUCGGGUUGUAAAACUCUUUUAGAUGAGAAGAUAAUGACGGUAUCAUCUGAAUAAGCACCGGCUAACUUCGUGCCAGCAGCCGCGGUAAUACGAAGGGUGCGAGCGUUGUUCGGAAUUACUGGGCGUAAAGGGCGCGUAGGCGGUUAAGAAAGAUAGAGGUGAAAUUCCAAGGCUUAACCUUGGAACUGCCUUUAUAACUAUUUAGCUAGAGUAUGGUAGAGGUAAGCGGAAUACCCAGUGUAGAGGUGAAAUUCGUAGAUAUUGGGUAGAACACCAGAAGCGAAGGCGGCUUACUGGGCCAUUACUGACGCUGAGGCGCGAAAGCGUGGGUAGCAAACAGG
Molecule: ribosomal RNA, 404 nt
Filed under: uncultured bacterium
Lineage: Bacteria
Description: bacterial SSU rRNA
Rfam family: Bacterial small subunit ribosomal RNA
Source: RNAcentral